ACACACACACACACACGGUAUGUCAGGUAGUGACAAGUGUUCAGAAGGACAAAGUAAGCACGGCAGGGAGAGAACAAUAAAGGGCAUUUCAGUCUUAGGUUGAGAAACCAGCAAAAUCCUCACUGAGAAGGUAACUUCAAGGGAGGUUUGAAAGAAGUUUGAGAGAGAGAGUCAAAUGAAAACCUGAGGAAAGAGUGUUCUAGCUCGUGCAAAGGCCCUGAGAUGGUAAGUUAACUGGAAUACUUGAGAAACAGCAAAGAAGUGACUCAGUUGAAAUAAAGUGAGAGAGAAUUGCAGGGGAUGAUAUCAGAUCCGUCAUGGUGGCUAGAUCAUACUCAUCUUCUUCUUGCACACAGUAGAUUUACACAGAGUCAUUUGUUUAAACCAGAAUUGUUUUGUAAAAUAGGAGGAAAAUAAGGGGAUUUAGUUUUCAGUCGUCAUUCUAUAAAUUGUGGGGGAAUGAUGUUACUAGGAAAGGUGUUCAUGUGGAAGCACAUGGCUACUAUGUUGUUUAAAGAUGCUCCUCCAAGGCAACAGCUGCAUUCCUGUCCUGGUUCACAAGGCCACAGCCCCCAAGUCCUCUGAACCCUCUCAGUGCUAUUUGGCUUAUUAGUGACCUAAACAGGAAAUUCCUUCUAAAAUGGCUUGCACAAAUUCCUAUGCUCUAUUUUCUGACAAAUUUCACUUUUUGAAUAGAAAUGUCAUUCUUUUAAUAACAAUAUACACUCUUACCCAUUUUCCCCUUCACCUGCUCUGUGUCUUUUGAUUUCCAAGGCUUGUUGCAUAAGCCUCAGGACUAAUCCAUCCUCUAGUCACCACGAGGGCUAUAUUCCAUAUUCCAGCCCCCGCUCACGAAUGAUGAAUGAAGAUCAUGUCACCACUGUCCCUACUAUCACCUUCCAGUGGCUUCCCAGCUUACUGACAACAAAGCCACACUCCUAACCGUGUUCCGAGACCUUGCAUGNUAGUCAUUAACAAUCUGAUGCAGAAAUGUCUGCUCUUAAGAUUAUUUGUAAAGAUUACUGAAUCCCUUUUCUCAAAUUUUAUUUGUUUCAGUUGUAGGUCCCAUUGUCACAACCUGAGUUUUAGGCUUUUUGUGGGUAUGNGUUCUCAGACCUGUCCCCCGAACAUUCCUCCACUUCCCCUUCUAGGUCUAACGCCGCCCACCAUUAAUCAGGAAGAAGCCAGAGGACUUUAUGCCGUCCCCCGUGUCACUUAAAAAAACAAAAAGGGAGGAAUGUUGGGUGCAGGGCAGGCUGAACAGAUGUUGGCUGCAAGAUAGCCCACACACUCAAACCCCCCUCUGUCUGGUCCUUUAUCACCUGUUUGCCUCAAGUCUGAACAUUCAACCCUGCUUAAGGCUGAACACUUAACACCCCCUUGGGCCAACAAGGCAGCUUGCAGACCCAGAGGCCCCAUUAGAUUUGGGCUAUAAAAACUCCCUCCUGCCAGGCCCCCCUCUCUCUCCCCCUCUCUCUUGCUCUCUCUCUUGCUCUUUCUCUCUCCCUCUCUCUCUUGCUCUUUCUCUCUUGCUCUCUCUCUCUUGCUCUUUAUCUU
This 1557-nucleotide long non-coding RNA is filed under the name Marmota monax (woodchuck). Lineage: Eukaryota; Metazoa; Chordata; Mammalia; Rodentia; Sciuridae. The record is from RNAcentral.